Molecule: ribosomal RNA, 824 nt
Filed under: uncultured bacterium
Lineage: Bacteria
Description: bacterial SSU rRNA
Rfam family: Bacterial small subunit ribosomal RNA
Source: RNAcentral
AGAGUUUGAUCAUGGCUCAGGACGAACGCUGGCGGCGUGCUUAACACAUGCAAGUCGAACGGAAAGGCCCUGCUUUUGUGGGGUGCUCGAGUGGCGAACGGGUGAGUAACACGUGAGUAACCUGCCCUUGACUUUGGGAUAACUUCAGGAAACUGGGGCUAAUACCGGAUAGGAGCUCCUGCUGCAUGGUGGGGGUUGGAAAGUUUCGGCGGUUGGGGAUGGACUCGCGGCUUAUCAGCUUGUUGGUGGGGUAGUGGCUUACCAAGGCUUUGACGGGUAGCCGGCCUGAGAGGGUGACCGGCCACAUUGGGACUGAGAUACGGCCCAGACUCCUACGGGAGGCAGCAGUGGGGAAUAUUGCACAAUGGGCGGAAGCCUGAUGCAGCAACGCCGCGUGCGGGAUGACGGCCUUCGGGUUGUAAACCGCUUUCGCCUGUGACGAAGCGUGAGUGACGGUAAUGGGUAAAGAAGCACCGGCUAACUACGUGCCAGCAGCCGCGGUGAUACGUAGGGUGCGAGCGUUGUCCGGAUUUAUUGGGCGUAAAGGGCUCGUAGGUGGUUGAUCGCGUCGGAAGUGUAAUCUUGGGGCUUAACCCUGAGCGUGCUUUCGAUACGGGUUGACUUGAGGAAGGUAGGGGAGAAUGGAAUUCCUGGUGGAGCAGUGGAAUGCGCAGAUAUCAGGAGGAACACCAGUGGCGAAGGCGGUUCUCUGGGCCUUUCCUGACGCUGAGGAGCGAAAGCGUGGNGAGCGAACAGGCUUAGAUACCCUGGUAGUCCACGCUGUAAACGGUGGGUACUAGGUGUGGGGUCCAUUCCACGGGUUC